RNAcentral lists this ribosomal RNA (1175 nucleotides) under Leuconostoc pseudomesenteroides. RNAcentral's name for it is "bacterial SSU rRNA". It matches the Rfam family "Bacterial small subunit ribosomal RNA", at positions 104 to 1267 of the family's 1533-position model. The record is from RNAcentral. Lineage: Bacteria; Bacillati; Bacillota; Bacilli; Lactobacillales; Lactobacillaceae.
GGGUGAGUAACACGUGGACAACCUGCCUCAAGGCUGGGGAUAACAUUUGGAAACAGAUGCUAAUACCGAAUGAAACUUAGUGUCGCAUGAUACGAAGUUAAAAGGCGCUUUGGCGUCACCUAGAGAUGGAUCCGCGGUGCAUUAGUUAGUUGGUGGGGUAAAGGCCUACCAAGACAAUGAUGCAUAGCCGAGUUGAGAGACUGAUCGGCCACAUUGGGACUGAGACACGGCCCAAACUCCUACGGGAGGCUGCAGUAGGGAAUCUUCCACAAUGGGCGAAAGCCUGAUGGAGCAACGCCGCGUGUGUGAUGAAGGCUUUCGGGUCGUAAAGCACUGUUGUAUGGGAAGAACAGCUAGAAUAGGGAAUGAUUUUAGUUUGACGGUACCAUACCAGAAAGGGACGGCUAAAUACGUGCCAGCAGCCGCGGUAAUACGUAUGUCCCGAGCGUUAUCCGGAUUUAUUGGGCGUAAAGCGAGCGCAGACGGUUGAUUAAGUCUGAUGUGAAAGCCCGGAGCUCAACUCCGGAAUGGCAUUGGAAACUGGUUAACUUGAGUGCAGUAGAGGUAAGUGGAACUCCAUGUGUAGCGGUGGAAUGCGUAGAUAUAUGGAAGAACACCAGUGGCGAAGGCGGCUUACUGGACUGUAACUGACGUUGAGGCUCGAAAGUGUGGGUAGCAAACAGGAUUAGAUACCCUGGUAGUCCACACCGUAAACGAUGAACACUAGGUGUUAGGAGGUUUCCGCCUCUUAGUGCCGAAGCUAACGCAUUAAGUGUUCCGCCUGGGGAGUACGACCGCAAGGUUGAAACUCAAAGGAAUUGACGGGGACCCGCACAAGCGGUGGAGCAUGUGGUUUAAUUCGAAGCAACGCGAAGAACCUUACCAGGUCUUGACAUCCUUUGAAGCUUUUAGAGAUAGAAGUGUUCUCUUCGGAGACAAAGUGACAGGUGGUGCAUGGUCGUCGUCAGCUCGUGUCGUGAGAUGUUGGGUUAAGUCCCGCAACGAGCGCAACCCUUAUUGUUAGUUGCCAGCAUUCAGAUGGGCACUCUAGCGAGACUGCCGGUGACAAACCGGAGGAAGGCGGGGACGACGUCAGAUCAUCAUGCCCCUUAUGACCUGGGCUACACACGUGCUACAAUGGCGUAUACAACGAGUUGCCAACCCGCGAGGGUGAG